CCAGCCACAUCUCCACACACAAGAACUUCCAAACGCCUAAACCUCAGUGGCCAAGUGUUCCUCCAGGCCCGCCUCCCCCAGGAGCUUGCUACAAGUGCCAGAAAUCUGGCUACCAGGCCAAGGAAUGCCCACAGCCCAGAAUUCCUCUUAAGCCACGUCCCAUCUGUGCGGGACCCCACUGAAAAUCAGACUGUUCAACUCACCUGGCAGUCAUUCCCAGAGCCUCUGGAACUCUGGCCCAAGGCUCUCUGACUCCUUCCCAGAUCUUCUCGGCUUAGCAGCUGAAGACUGACACUGCCCGAUCGCCUCGGAAGCCCCUUAGACCAUCACGGAUGCCGAGCUUCGGGUAACUCUUACAGUGGAAGGGACACACAUGACAUUUGGUGCCAAAACCUGGACAGGAAGACUCCUUCAGGAGACUGGUACCCUGUCCUCGUCAUCACUCCGUGAGGCAAUCCACCUAUGACCUUGGGUCCUCAGACCCACCAGCCCAAGGAACAUCUCACCAAUUUCAUAUCGGUUAUGUCUAUUUUUAAAGAAAACUGGAGCUGCCUAUAAUGCUUUAUUGGACAAAUAAUACUUCACUGUGAAACCUUUCCCCAACCACAGCCUCCACGAGAGCAUCCAACAAUGAAAAAUGAACAUUGACUCUCGUGGCAGCAGGGGGAAUUGAUUGGAGUAAGAAGAGCUGUGAGCCAGAGAAUGAAUUCCUGAACCAGCCCAAGAAGUUCCAGUGACAGAUGGGAGAGGACACCUUCAUACAGCAGUAAAUUUUUGGCCAUUCUCCUUCCUCCUGUGUUGCUGGGUGGGUCAGCACAAUGAGUGGUAGGAGUACUUCUGGAAGCCAUUCCUACAGCAGGGAUGCUAGCAAUUAUGAAACCAUUCCUAGAAGUGUCUGAAAACCACAACAUAUUCCAAUAAACCAAAAAUGAAGUAUUUCCAACUCAGUUGCCCCUUAGUUGGAUUCCAAACAUGCUUUGUGGUCACCCUUACAUUACCCAACACGAAGGGAAGUGUGAUGGAGCAGCAAUCACUGUGGAGACAGUCAUCUUAACUGAUGGUGAUUCUAACUUUUGAAAGUUUUAGAAAAACAUAUAUACAUGUGAACACAUUGGCAGGGACUCUCUCAGAGCUUGGGAAGGAGAUCCAUGCACAGAAGGGGCUUCCGGUUUAUACUAUGUUAGCUUAUGGUGAACAUGUCUCUAGGAAAUAGAGCCCACUUCUGGGGACUGGUUGGAUAUGAAUGAAGGAUGAGAGAAACAGGAAUCUAGGAAGUCUGGCAGAUUUUUCUAGCUUGUAUUCCAUGUUGAAUGAUAAUAUGGUAAACAACAACAACAAAAAAUAGAAUGACCACUUUUCAGGCUUGAUUGUCCUAUUUUUAGUAUUAAAAAUCUCACAUUCUGGGGAAACACCUCUUCAGGAAGCAAAAAUCUCAGUUUUUAGGUAAGGAAGGUUGCAGGGAAGUGCCAUACUGAAAAGGCAGCCCCAAAAAUAGUAACUGAAAGAAAGCCGUUUUUAGUGUCAAAUGAAUACCAGUAUAGAUUAUCUGUCUUUCAUAGUUGUUGCCGUUUUUACCUCUGAUCACUAAUGUUUGCAGCUAUGAUUGGCAGUUCUCCAAAAUGGUUCAUGCUUGGUUGGAUCACUCCAAGUGACACAAUUUGUGUGAAACCUUAGUGCACUGUAAUCACGAACAUUAACAAUCUGUCUUUGGCUUUGCCCGUGGAUUAACUUUUGUGCUUUGUAUUGAGAUACUGCUUGUGAAAAAAAACAAAGACAAUCCAAAUAAGAACAAACAGAGGCCAUUUAAUCAGAGCUUGAUAAAGCAAGGGAGUCAGCCACCAUCACUUGCAUUUGGUAGACUCAAAGGCAGACAAGGGAGCUUUGUAGUGGAUAAAAGGGGAGACUUCAGUUAUACCUUGAUAAGAGGUUAUUGGCACAAAGAAGCUGGAAGUAAAUUAACUAGCAGUUGGGCAUAGUAUAUAAUUGGUUUGGGAAGUAUAUUUGGCUCUCUCUGAUUGGUGCUGAGGUGGAAGUCAGGGCAAAAAUUAGGAAAGUUGGCAGUGAAUGACUAAGUCUUGACAAUUCUGGGCUGAUUCCUGCGGAGCUUUUGGAUUAAAAUUCUAUUGUCUUAUAUGGUCUGACCCUUUUCUAUUUGUACAUUGUCCCUCAAGACAGUUUAAUUUUAACAUUGUAAAUUUUAUGACCAUAUUUUCCAAGAACCUAGAUAAUGAAAAUAAAAGCAAUUACAAUACCAACACCAGUAUUACCCAUAUAUCCCCCUAAAAGAAGGCUUAAUAACUUUGUUACAUUAAUGGCAAAUGGAAAAACACAUACAGCUGCAUUAAGGAAAUAAAUAACCAAAACAAAUUAUUUUGCAGAUUAUGCAAAAAAUAAUUUGGGAUUGGGAAUGGUGGAGUAGGGGAUGGGGAAACAUAAGGUUAGCAUAAGACAGGUAAGUACUGCUAAAUCAUUCAAAAGUUUUUAUUUUUAUUUCCCCCAAAAUACCAAUGGUCAGUUGAAAACAGUGGCCACUGAAUUACCUUAGGCAUAUCCCAGUAAUGAACAUGCAUUAUCAUAUUAUUCCCUUGAUGGUUGUAUGAAACUGUGUUAAUUACUUGGCCUGAUUCAGAAGUUGCAUCUAAAAUGUCCUGUUGGGGAAAAAAUAGGGGAUUUUGAUAACAGAUGCAUUGGCCUCUUAUGGGGUAGAUCUGAUUCUGUCAGAUCUUAGCAAAGAUUAUGUUUUCUACAGUGGGUCAAGGGAGGUGCAUGGAAUCACAGUAGUAACAAAAUGUUUCUUUUAGUACAUAGACACUUUAAUUUGAAAAAUUAAGUUUCAAAUAGUGUUCUUAAUUUGUAUGAAUAUUUUAAUGAAACUUUGGAAAAGACUUGCUCCUAUAUCCACAUAUUCAGUAGACGAUGAAAAUAAAAAUGUUGGCAAAUUCCAUUCAGUCAGUAAACUCCUUAUCAAAGAAAGUAAAAAGAUCUUGCCAGCUAAAUGUCCUCGUUACCUUCUACAACAUGUAGAUUAAAAGGUGUGUGAUCUGCUUGCGUGCCAUAUUAGGGCUUUCAUAAUGAAAGUUUUUGGUCAUUUUUAGUGUCCUCAAAUAUGAAGAAGCACAUAAUUAUAUUUUUGAUUGUAUAGGUAUAGAAGGAAAUAGCUUCAUUAGGCAUGUGCCUAAAAGAUGGCUAUCAUUGUUGCUUGACAUGGAAAAGAUAUUAAAAUGGUGGCCUUCCAUAAAAUUAUAAUUUCCAACUGUGGAACAAGAAAAAAAUCCUUCUCUAAUUUGGAGACAUAUGAGAGUAAAAAUAGAUAAAAGGAUUACAGUAAAGCAGAAAUGUAUAUGCUGUUUCCUAAAAAUAUUUGAUAAUCUUUGACAAGACCAUAAGGCAACUAGAAAAAGAUGAACUGACUACACCUGAGUUUUGUAAGGUUACAUGUAGGUUGCAA
Molecule: long non-coding RNA, 3448 nt
Filed under: Homo sapiens (human)
Lineage: Eukaryota; Metazoa; Chordata; Mammalia; Primates; Hominidae
Description: HSALNT0044743
Source: RNAcentral